AACGAACGCUGGCGGCAUGCCUAACACAUGCAAGUCGAACGAGACCUUCGGGUCUAGUGGCGCACGGGUGCGUAACGCGUGGGAACCUGCCCUUGGGUUCGGACUAACUCCCAGCCAGGGGUGCUCAAAGCGGAUACUGUCUUCGGACCAAAGAUUUACCGCAUGUGACUGGGCCGGCGUUGGCUUAGCUAGUUGGUAGGGUAAAAGCCUACCAAGGGCACGAUCCAUAGCUGGUAUGAGAGGAUGAUCCGCCACACGGGGACUGCGACCAGGCCCAGACUCCUACGGAAGGCAGAGGGGGGGAAAAUUGGACAAGGGGCGAAAGCCGAUGCCAGCAAGCCCGCGGGAGUGAUGAAGGCCUUAGGGUUGUAAAGCUCGUUUACCCGGGAGGAUAAUGACAGUACCGGAAGAAUAAGCCCCGGCUAACUCCGUG
This 433-nucleotide ribosomal RNA is filed under the name uncultured bacterium. RNAcentral describes it as "partial 16S ribosomal RNA". It matches the Rfam family "Bacterial small subunit ribosomal RNA", at positions 29 to 507 of the family's 1533-position model. The record is from RNAcentral.